This is a non-coding RNA of Xylaria cubensis, 113 nucleotides long. The record is from the annotation of a GenBank genome assembly. Lineage: Eukaryota; Fungi; Ascomycota; Sordariomycetes; Xylariales; Xylariaceae.
GCCCGGCUGGCGUAAUGGUUAACGCGUAAGACUUCUACAGUUGUGUUAAUUCUUAACGAAUUGCACGCGCAGGAGCGAUCUUAAGAUUGCGAGUUCGAGUCUCGCGUCGGGUU